This 491-nucleotide ribosomal RNA is filed under the name uncultured bacterium. Its description in RNAcentral is "bacterial SSU rRNA". It matches the Rfam family "Bacterial small subunit ribosomal RNA", at positions 28 to 507 of the family's 1533-position model. The record is from RNAcentral.
GAUGAACGCUAGCUACAGGCUUAACACAUGCAAGUCGAGGGGCAGCAUGGUCUUAGCUUGCUAAGGCCGAUGGCGACCGGCGCACGGGUGAGUAACACGUAUCCAACCUGCCGUCUACUCUUGGACAGCCUUCUGAAAGGAAGAUUAAUACAAGAUGGCAUCAUGAGUCCGCAUGUUCACAUGAUUAAAGGUAUUCCGGUAGACGAUGGGGAUGCGUUCCAUUAGAUAGUAGGCGGGGUAACGGCCCACCUAGUCUUCGAUGGAUAGGGGUUCUGAGAGGAAGGUCCCCCCACAUUGGAACUGAGACACGGUCCAAACUCCUACGGGAGGCAGCAGUGAGGAAUAUUGGUCAAUGGACGAGAGUCUGAACCAGCCAAGUAGCGUGCAGGAUGACGGCCCUAUGGGUUGUAAACUGCUUUUAUAAGGGAAUAAAGUGGGAGUCGUGACUCUUUUUGCAUGUACCUUAUGAAUAAGGACCGGCUAAUUCCGUG